Long non-coding RNA from Lynx canadensis (Canada lynx), 360 nucleotides. RefSeq lists it as uncharacterized. NCBI's taxonomy places the organism in Eukaryota, Metazoa, Chordata, Mammalia, Carnivora, Felidae. The transcript is spliced from 3 exons. The record is from RefSeq and is a predicted model, not a curated record.
AGAAGACCAAGGUGAAACUCCACCUCCCAUUGGAAAUCAUGGAGUCACCUUCUACAAAACACUCCUAUUAAAUUAGGGAAAUGGAAUUUAAAGAUAUCAUUUUGGUCCACCUAUCUGAAAAAGCGUGAAGAAUUUCCCGGCUGCUAACUCAGCAUAUGUGACCACAUUCACCUCUGUCUGCCUGCGAGAGUACGUGUAGAAACUAGGUUGCUGGAAGGAAUACGUUUCUCAGUAGAUUGCCUUGCCCACCAGAGUGACGUGAAGAUUGGUGAUGGUCUCCCUCUCGUCCCAAAGAAAUUCUCCAUGUUCAGAGUAUUUCUCAUUGAGCACCUGCUGGCAUUGGACCAUACAGUCAGUCUA